UACGUAGGUGGCAAGCGUUGUCCGGAUUUACUGGGCGUAAAGAGCGCGCAGGCGGUCGUUCAAGUCGCGUGUGAAAGCCCCCGGCUCAACUGGGGAGGGUCACGCGAUACUGAUCGACUGGAAGGCAGGAGAGGGUAGUGGAAUCCCCGGUGUAGUGGUGAAAUGCGUAGAUAUCGGGAGGAACACCAGUGGCGAAGGCGACUACCUGGCCUGUUCUUGACGCUGAGGCGCGAAAGCUAGGGGAGCAAACGGG
Molecule: ribosomal RNA, 253 nt
Filed under: uncultured bacterium
Lineage: Bacteria
Description: partial 16S ribosomal RNA
Rfam family: Bacterial small subunit ribosomal RNA
Source: RNAcentral